GAGGAAUAUUGGUCAAUGGGCGAGAGCCUGAACCAGCCAUCCCGCGUGCAGGAUGACGGCCCUAUGGGUUGUAAACUGCUUUUCCGCGCCAAGAAACCCCCCGACGUGUCGGGGGCUGACGGUAGCGCGGGAAUAAGCACCGGCUAACUCCGUGCCAGCAGCCGCGGUAAUACGGAGGGUGCAAGCGUUAUCCGGAUUCAUUGGGUUUAAAGGGUGCGCAGGCGGGGAAAUAAGUCAGUGGUGAAAUACUGCCGCUCAACGGUAGGGCUGCCAUUGAUACUGUUUUUCUUGAGUAUGGUUGAGGCAGGUGGAAUGUGUUGUGUAGCGGUGAAAUGCAUAGAUAUGACACAGAACGCCGAUUGCGAAGGCAACUUGCUAAGCCAUCACUGACGCUGAGGCACGAAAGCGUGGGUAGCGGAC
RNAcentral lists this ribosomal RNA (420 nucleotides) under uncultured bacterium. RNAcentral's name for it is "bacterial SSU rRNA". It matches the Rfam family "Bacterial small subunit ribosomal RNA", at positions 356 to 773 of the family's 1533-position model. The record is from RNAcentral.